GAUGAACGCUAGCGGGAGGCCUAACACAUGCAAGCCGAGCGGUAUAGAAUCUUCGGAUUUUAGAGAGCGGCGUACGGGUGCGGAACACGUGUGCAACCUACCUUUAUCUGGAGGAUAGCCUUUCGAAAGGAGAUUAAUACUCCAUAAUAUAUUGAUUGGCAUCAAUUAAUAUUGAAAGCUCUGGCGGAUAGAGAUGGGCACGCGCAAGAUUAGUUAGUUGGUGAGGUAACGGCUCACCAAGACGAUGAUCUUUAGGGGCCUGAGAGGGUGAUCCCCACACUGGUACUGAGACACGGACCAGACUCCUACGGGAGGCAGCAGUGAGGAAUAUUGGACAAUGGGUGCAAGCCUGAUCCAGCCAUCCCGCGUGAAGGACGACUGCCCUAUGGGUUGUAAACUUCUUUGUAUAGGGAUAAACCUCUACCUCGUGAGGAGAGCUGAAGGUACUAUACGAAUAAGCACCGGCUAACUCCGUGCCAGCAGCCGCGGUAA
RNAcentral lists this ribosomal RNA (492 nucleotides) under uncultured bacterium. RNAcentral's name for it is "bacterial SSU rRNA". It matches the Rfam family "Bacterial small subunit ribosomal RNA", at positions 28 to 523 of the family's 1533-position model. The record is from RNAcentral.